GCAUCUGUAGCUUAGUUGGAUAGAGCAAUUGACUACGAAUCAAUAGGUCGGGCGUUCGAAUCGCUCCAGGUGCA
RNAcentral lists this transfer RNA (74 nucleotides) under Deltaproteobacteria bacterium. Its description in RNAcentral is "tRNA-Arg". It matches the Rfam family "tRNA". Rfam says of the family: Transfer RNA (tRNA) molecules are approximately 80 nucleotides in length. Their secondary structure includes four short double-helical elements and three loops (D, anti-codon, and T loops). The record is from RNAcentral. Lineage: Bacteria; Pseudomonadati; Myxococcota; Myxococcia.